AGAGUUUGAUCAUGGCUCAGAGCGAACGCUGGCGGCAGGCUUAACACAUGCAAGUCGAGCGGGCGUAGCAAUACGUCAGCGGCAGACGGGUGAGUAACGCGUGGGAACGUACCUUUUGGUUCGGAACAACACAGGGAAACUUGUGCUAAUACCGAAUAAGCCCUUACGGGGAAAGAUUUAUCGCCGAAAGAUCGGCCCGCGUCUGAUUAGCUAGUUGGUGAGGUAACGGCUCACCAAGGCGACGAUCAGUAGCUGGUCUGAGAGGAUGAUCAGCCACAUUGGGACUGAGACACGGCCCAAACUCCUACGGGAGGCAGCAGUGGGGAAUAUUGGACAAUGGGCGCAAGCCUGAUCCAGCCAUGCCGCGUGAGUGAUGAAGGCCCUAGGGUUGUAAAGCUCUUUUGUGCGGGAAGAUAAUGACGGUACCGCAAGAAUAAGCCCCGGCUAACUUCGUGCCAGCAGCCGCGGUAAUACGAAGGGGGCUAGCGUUGCUCGGAAUCACUGGGCGUAAAGGGUGCGUAGGCGGGUCUUUAAGUCAGGGGUGAAAUCCUGGAGCUCAACUCCAGAACUGCCUUUGAUACUGAGGAUCUUGAGUCCGGGAGAGGUGAGUGGAACUGCGAGUGUAGAGGUGAAAUUCGUAGAUAUUCGCAAGAACACCAGUGGCGAAGGCGGCUCACUGGCCCGGUACUGACGCUGAGGCACGAAAGCGUGGGGAGCAAACAGGAUUAGAUACCCUAGUAGUCC
RNAcentral lists this ribosomal RNA (744 nucleotides) under uncultured bacterium. RNAcentral describes it as "bacterial SSU rRNA". It matches the Rfam family "Bacterial small subunit ribosomal RNA", at positions 8 to 796 of the family's 1533-position model. The record is from RNAcentral.